CCCGGUCCUAGGACACCUUCCCGGUGCCCACGGCGGGAGCAUCUCUGCCAGCCCUGGGGUUCAGAAGAUGCCCAGGGUCCCAGGCGGAGGGACCUCCUGGGCAACUGCUUCCUCCAGGAAGUGUCAGAGCCUCCAAUGCCCCAAUAUCAGGGCCACCUCCCUUCAUCCCAGUGCAGAAACAACGACCUGGAGGAACCCAACUAGGAGCCACCUUAGGCGCGGUAGCACACACCCAUCAUCCGUCGAAGGUUGAGGCAGGAGGAUCGCUCUCGAAGUCAAGGCCUGCUCGGACUACAUAGGGACGGAGACCCUGUCUCAAAACAAAACAAAAACCUCCGAAAAGAAAGCCUGGCCCCCCGUUUUACAGGUGGGAAACCUGGGCAUCCGGUCGCCUGGGUAGAGCUGGAAUUCAAGUUCACACACGUCAUUUGCAGAGUCCCGAGCGCUUAACCCUUCCCCAAUUAUGGUCCUUAAUUCAAACAAAACACUCCUUUCAACAAAGAUUUUCUUG
This is a long non-coding RNA of Nannospalax galili (Upper Galilee mountains blind mole rat), 511 nucleotides long. RefSeq lists it as uncharacterized. NCBI's taxonomy places the organism in Eukaryota, Metazoa, Chordata, Mammalia, Rodentia, Spalacidae. The record is from RefSeq and is a predicted model, not a curated record. The transcript has 3 exons.